CUCCUGGUGCGUGGGCAAGGGUGCAGAUAAGUGGGCUUCUCCCACCAACACGGGGCUGGGUUGGUUCCACCAUCCCGGAGGGCCGUGCCUGUCCACCCUCAUGGUGUCUGUGGGUAUUUCGGCACCCUAAGCGUGUGCCACACCCCAAGUGUGCCAGGCAAUCGCUGUUCCGGUGACGGUGAGAAAUACGACACAGAUUAACAGCUCACCGACAGGGGGCUAAGCAGGUCGUGGUAAAGGAAGGAGCGUCACACGGAACAGAACCUUCAUCGCAUCGGCUCAUUUGUGCAAAGCCCGCACUUUGCGGUGCGUGUGAUCGUACCGCACAGAGGGUAGGUGCCUGAUACGCGGAGGCUGGUGAACUGGGACUGAUUUUAUCCUCACAAGACCCUCAGCUCCUCAGGGAGCUCAUCUGGGGAGCAAAGCUGACCAGCGAGGAGGUUGGCACCCUCUGGGUAGGCUGGGGCUGGGUUCAGCUGGGGAGGGAUUGGCUUUUCAGUCCCCUCCCUCCCACCAUCUGAGAGACGGGAAGCCACAGGCCUCCCCGUGUCUCACUGAGGGUGCGGUGAUGGUGGUAGCCGGUGAGACUCCCACUGCCCGUCUGCCAGAGCACAGCCAGGCUCCAGGGCUGGUCCGGGGCUCCCCCUCCCUCCGGGCAUCAGGGCCGCUCAGCCCGUGGACCAGUACCCAGAGUUUCUGGCCUUUGCCCCCUGCACACGCUCUCCCUCUGGGCCUUUCCUGCCCCGGCCUGUGCAGCGUCCCCACCCUCCCCUCUCGGCCUGAACCCUUUCCUCCUUCCCCGAGGCCCUUCUGGUUCACGGGUGAGUCCUUGUCAGGUCUCAUCUCGGGACGGCAACGCUGUCCCUGGCCCCACGGCAGCAGCAGCCCCGGAACCCACGAGGAAUGUGAAUUUCUAGGCUUUAACAAGCCCGAAGGCGAUUGUGAUGCUCGGGGUGAGACCCGCUCCCCACCGUGGCAGGCUGGGGUGGGGCCGGCAACUCAGGAAAACGCCAGGAUGGCUGCGGCCUGAUCUCGGCAGCCAGGUCGGGCAGUCCACGGCCACGGAUGCCGAGUCUGCUCGGCCGGUGAGGAGGAGAGCACCGCACAUCUUCGCGUGUGAAGAUCCAGAUAAACAUUUAUCUAAAAGGAAAUUCGAAGCUUUUGUGUGCCAAACACCCGUGGCCAAGGUAAAAGGCUAAUUACAUGGGCAUGCGGAUUUGCAACAACUACAGUGAGGGGUUAACAUUUCAAUUAUGUGACGACACAGGUGAUUUAAUGAUGAAAAGUGCUGAGAUCCCCCCAAGUGGAGUGUCAGAGGUCAGGAACGGGCCUUUUGCCAAGAGAAGGAGCCGAGGACGGGCGAAGCCUGGUGGAAAAAAUAAAUACAGCAGCGGUUGAGUGCUUGGAGCGAUGACAAAAGGGAGGAGGAUAUUUGCUGGGGAAGCAUCAGACUGGUGAAAUGAUUCCCUUGUGUGACUUCUUUUUUUUUUUAAUUUUUUUUUUUUAACGUUUAUUUAUUUUUGAGACAGAGAGAGACACAGAGCAUGAACGGGGGAGGGUCAGAGAGAGGGAGACACAGAAUCCGAAACAGGCUCCAGGCUCUGAGCUGUCAGCACAGAGCCCGACGUAGGGCUCGAACCCACAGACUGAGAGAUCAUGACCUGAGCCAAAGUCGGCCGCUCAACCGACUGAGCCACCCAGGCGCCCCUCCCUUGUGUGACUUCUAAUAAAACUUCUUUUUCCUUA
Acinonyx jubatus (cheetah) is the source of this 1746-nucleotide long non-coding RNA. RefSeq lists it as uncharacterized. The transcript has 2 exons. The record is from RefSeq and is a predicted model, not a curated record. Lineage: Eukaryota; Metazoa; Chordata; Mammalia; Carnivora; Felidae.